CCAGGUCUGCUAGUCAGUUACUGUCUCUGUUCCAGGUCUGCUAGUCAGUUACUGCCUCUGUUCCAGGUCUGCUAGUCAGUUACUGUCUCUGUUCCAGGUCUGCUAGUCAGUUACUGUCUCUGUUCCAGGUCUGGUAGUCAGUUACUCCGGUGAACUCAUGUUCCUGUUUCUCUGCCCUGGUUGCUAAACUGUUUUCCUGAUGAUCAUAUCUAUAUGUACCAGCUACAUUGGCACGUCCUGAUCCUAGUAAGAUGUUAUUUUCUAUGGUAGAGUAGUUCAGGGCGUGACAGGGGGUGUUUUUUCUAUGUUUUCUAUUUCUAUGUUUAGGUUCUAGUUUUGUAUUUCUAUGUUGGGGUUUUUGUUUGGGAUGAUCUCCAAUUAGAGUCAGCUGGUCCUCGUUGUCUCUAAUUGGAGAUCAUACUUAAGUAGGGUUUUUUUUCCACCUGGGUUUUGUGGGAGAUUAAUUUUGAGUUGUGUAUGUGUUCAUCGCUGCGUCACAGUUUAUUUUAUUUUUUUUCAUUCAGUGUUUUUAUGUAUCGCGUAGUUUCCACAGUAUAAAUAAAAUGUGGAACGACACACACGCUGCACUUUGGUCCUCUUCUUCCUACGACAGCCGUGACAUACAUAUACAGGAUCUUAAUUCGACACGUUUCUCACAGCAGGGAAAUAAUCCUGCAGCAACCGGAAAUGUGAAUUAGUGUGUGGAUUAUAAUUAAUGGAAGGGCUGAUAGUUUUUUGUGAAGUGUUAAAGUGGAAUUUACAUUGUUUAGAAGCCUUUUUAAAACCUCGAAUACACUAACAGUUUGCAUUUCCUGCUGUGCUGGAACAACAGGACGAUCAAAUUAAGAUCCUACAUCUGUAGUGGCCACUAUAAAUUUUCCAACCAAGGUUUUUUCCAUCUUUCCCUAUGUGGCGUGUAAUAUUCUUGGCAUGGGGUGUGAUCACCGCUAGCCACGUGUCCAUUGUAAACUCUCUCUCUCUCUGUGUGUUCUUGUUCACCCAGUAUUCAGGCCUAUUGAAGUUGGGCAGUGAGAGACAGAGAUCAGGCCUAUUGAAGAUGGGCAGUGAGAGACAGAGAUCAGGCCUAUUGAAGAUGGGCA
RNAcentral lists this long non-coding RNA (1100 nucleotides) under Salmo salar (Atlantic salmon). Its description in RNAcentral is "lncRNA (ENSSSAG00000091153.1)". The record is from RNAcentral. Lineage: Eukaryota; Metazoa; Chordata; Actinopteri; Salmoniformes; Salmonidae.